RNAcentral lists this long non-coding RNA (179 nucleotides) under Bos mutus (wild yak). RNAcentral describes it as "lncRNA (ENSBMUG00000020667.1)". The record is from RNAcentral. Lineage: Eukaryota; Metazoa; Chordata; Mammalia; Artiodactyla; Bovidae.
UGUCACUGUACCGGGGGCUGCAACGUGGACAGCACCCCUCACUUCUAAGUUCAACUGCAGACUGGAUGGUGAAGGGCAGAAGCUGAGGAGGUGGAAGUGCAGAUUUGGAGCCUCUGGACCCGACAGGACCCUAUAACUCUUAUUAACUGAAUUGGAUGGAGCUAAAAUAAAGACAUAAA